RNAcentral lists this long non-coding RNA (477 nucleotides) under Cyanistes caeruleus (blue tit). Its description in RNAcentral is "lncRNA (ENSCCEG00000013940.1)". Lineage: Eukaryota; Metazoa; Chordata; Aves; Passeriformes; Paridae. The record is from RNAcentral.
UGCCAGUGAAAACAAUGAGCCGUUUGCCUGAGUAAUGAGCAUAAAAUUGGAGCUGAGGAUUGUGUGCAGCUGACUGCAGAGCUGGUAUAUGUGUCAGAAACCUGACAGAAGCUAAACCUGAAAAAAUGAGGGUAACAUACUUCUAGUUAGAGGAUUUAAAGACAUUACUUUUUUUUUUUUUUUUUGUAGAAUCUCUUUACCAUACCCAAAAUUGACUAGGGAAAAAGAUCUCUGUUAUUCAGCAUCUAAAUUAAAGGCUGAUAAAUCUGGUUGUUCUGAAGUGUUCUCCUUUAGCCCACCAAGGUGAUCUCCAGAAAAAAUGAGUAAGACAUUUAUUCUUGUCCUUAUGUAUCAAGUGGAAUGAAAGAAAAGUGUGAAAACCUAGAAAUUCGUGUUUAUUAUUUCAUUAUGCCCAUGCUUUGUACAACCCUUUAUCCCCCUUAUUCCAAGGCACAUUCCUGGAUGCCACUUGCAUGA